UACGUAGGGGGCUAGCGUUGUCCGGAAUCAUUGGGCGUAAAGCGCGUGUAGGCGGUUCGGUAAGUCCGCUGUGAAAGUCGGGGGCUCAACCCUCGGAUGCCGGUGGAUACUGUCGGGCUUGAGUACGGAAGAGGCGGGUGGAAUUCCUGGUGUAGCGGUGAAAUGCGCAGAUAUCAGGAGGAACACCGAUUGCGAAGGCAGCUCGCUGGGACGUUACUGACGCUGAGACGCGAAAGCGUGGGGAGCAAACAGG
This 253-nucleotide ribosomal RNA is filed under the name uncultured bacterium. RNAcentral's name for it is "partial 16S ribosomal RNA". It matches the Rfam family "Bacterial small subunit ribosomal RNA", at positions 524 to 776 of the family's 1533-position model. The record is from RNAcentral.